UCGGGUAGGUGCAAAUAACCAUUGAUCCGAGGAUUUCCGAAUGGGACAACCCAUACAUUUGAAGAAUGUAUAUCUCUACCUAAGGUAGAGAGGCAAACCGAGGGAACUGAAACAUCUUAGUACCUCGAGGAAGAGAAAAUAAACUAAUGAUUCCCCCAGUAGUGGCGAGCGACCGGGGAAGAGCCCAAACCGUCGUUGUUUCGGCAUCGGCGGGGUAGUAGGACCGCGAUAUUGUAUGUGUUUUGUGAGUAGAAUGUUCUGGAAAGAACAACCAUAGGAGGUGAAAGUCCUGUAUACGAAGCGAAACAUGGCAUAGCGGUAUCCUGAGUAGCGCGGAGCACGAGGAAUUCUGCGUGAAUCAGCCGGGACCAUCCGGUAAGGCUAAAUACUCCUGUGAGACCGAUAGUGAACGAGUACUGUGAAGGAAAGGUGAAAAGCACUCCGAUGAGGAGAGUGAAAUAGUUCCUGAAACCAUACGCCUACAAGCGGUCGGAGCUCAGCAAUGAGUGACGGCGUGCCUUUUGCAUAAUGAACCUACGAGUUACCGUCUCUGGCAAGGUUUAGUAUCUCAGAUACGUAUCCGCAGUGAAAGCGAGCCUGAAAUGGGCGUAUAGUCAGAGGGGGUAGACGCGAAACCAAGUGAUCUACACUUGGCCAGGUUGAAGUUCCGGUAACACGGAAUGGAGGACCGAACGGAUAAGCGUUGAAAAGCUUCCCGAUGAGCCGAGUGUAGGAGUGAAAGGCCAAUCAAACUUGGAGAUAGCUCGUACUCCCCGAAAUGCAUUUAGGUGCAGCGUGUAUCGAUCCGCAUGAGAGGUAGAGCGACCGAUAGGUCAAGAGGGCUUCACCGCCUAUCGAGACCUGACGAACUCCGAAUGCUCAUGCGCCGCAGAUAUGCAGUAAGGGGGCGGGUGCUAAGGUCCGUCCCCGAGAGGAGAAGAAUCCAGACCGCCAACUAAGGCCCCGAAAUUCUGUCUGAGUUAGUCUAACGAAGUCUGGUCCCUAUGACAGCUAGGAUGUUGGCUUGGAAGCAGCCAUUCAUUCAAAGAGUGCGUAACAGCUCACUAGUCGAGGGUCCGGGCAUGGAUAAUAAUCGGGUAUAAGGCAGAUGCCGAAGUUGCGGGAUAGUAAU
RNAcentral lists this ribosomal RNA (1132 nucleotides) under Segatella bryantii. RNAcentral's name for it is "partial 23S ribosomal RNA". It matches the Rfam family "Bacterial large subunit ribosomal RNA", at positions 78 to 1214 of the family's 2925-position model. Lineage: Bacteria; Pseudomonadati; Bacteroidota; Bacteroidia; Bacteroidales; Prevotellaceae. The record is from RNAcentral.